CAUCGAUGAAAACAUCGAUGCAUCGAUAUUUUUAAAAUUUUCUAAAUCAUCGAUGUUAUUUUUCAACCAUCGAUGUUUCUGUGCCGUCACUAUUAAGAAAAAAGGCAAAGGAAAGUAAUAGAACAUUCAAUUGGUGGAGCAGGCGACGGCGCUAAGAUGGACAAAUUUUGGCCACUAAGGAUGCACUAACCAUUGCUUUGCUGGGCACUGCAAAGGCCCCUUUGCCCUUUGUGUCAGAGGAUCUCGAGAUCUUAGAAGAACUGUGCACGUUAUUGAGUCCUUUCGACAAAGCGACAAAAAGGAUUUCGGGUGGAAAGUACCCCACGAUAUCUUUGAUUAUUCCUAUUAAUUGCGAAAUGCAAAUUCAAAUAACUAGCUUAAAGGACAGUUUUAAAACACCAGAGGUCAUACUAGCCUUUGAUGCUAUUGAUGGACGCUUUGCAGAACGUUUCGCUCCUUACAAAUCCCGAUCAGUAACAAGGAUUGCCACGAUAAUUGACCCGAGGUUCAAAAAACUGGGUUUUUGCACCCGGAGCAAUGCCGACCAGGCAUGCCAUGGGUUGGAGGAGGAGCUCAUCAUUGCCAUUAGAAAGUUGUCUGCGUCGGAAAAGCCUGCACCACCAAGCCAGACUAAACCAUCGGACUAUUUCACUUGCUUGCAAGCAAAAUUGCAAGCGAAAAAUAGCACGGCGCGCUCCGAAGCCAUAGUUAUGCUCAGGCAGCAUAUUGAAACUUCAAAUGAGGCCGAAGUGUGCGAGCCGUUGCAAUAUUGGAAGGAAUCGUCGAACAGUAUGGCGCCCUUUAAAGAAGUGGUCAAAAAAUGUAUAUGUAUCCCUGCCACUUCCUGCGAGUCAGAAAGAGCCUUCAGCAAGGCGGGGCAAAUUAUUUCUGACCGCAGGACGCGCCUAAAGCCUGACGUCGUCGACAAACUUAUGUUUAUUAACAAAAAUUAUAGUUUUCUUAAAAAUGUUUAAUUUAGUUAUAAGAAAUGAUCUCCGAAAUGAUCUCUCUCUCAGUCUAAAACACCAAGUGAAUAAAUGUUAUGUUAUAUAUUUUUAAUACAACCACAA
Drosophila suzukii is the source of this 1070-nucleotide non-coding RNA. The record is from RefSeq and is a predicted model, not a curated record. NCBI's taxonomy places the organism in Eukaryota, Metazoa, Arthropoda, Insecta, Diptera, Drosophilidae.